RNAcentral lists this ribosomal RNA (253 nucleotides) under uncultured bacterium. Its description in RNAcentral is "partial 16S ribosomal RNA". It matches the Rfam family "Bacterial small subunit ribosomal RNA", at positions 524 to 776 of the family's 1533-position model. The record is from RNAcentral.
UACGGGGGGGGCAAGCGUUGUUCGGAAUUACUGGGCGUAAAGGGCUCGUAGGUGGCCAACUAAGUCAGACGUGAAAUCCCUCGUCUUAACCGGGGAACUGCGUCUGAUACUGGAUGGCUUGAGUUUGGGAGAGGGACGCGGAAUUCCAGGUGUAGCGGUGAAAUGCGUAGAUAUCGGGAGGAACACCAGUGGCGAAGGCGACUUCCUGGCCUGUUCUUGACGCUGAGGCGCGAAAGCUGGGGGAGCAAACGGG